Molecule: non-coding RNA, 118 nt
Organism: Aedes albopictus (Asian tiger mosquito)
Lineage: Eukaryota; Metazoa; Arthropoda; Insecta; Diptera; Culicidae
Source: Rfam
UGCCCAGCAACUCCUAUCCCUACCUCCACGCGGUACCGGCCGGAAACUAUGAGAAACCUUAGGGAAGAUCGGGUAACCAACCCCGGUGGGAACUUUGGUCGUAGGCUGACAGGGAAGG